CGCCCGUCACACCAUGGGAGCUGGUAAUGCCCGAAGCCGGUUAGUUAACUUCGGAGACGACUGUCUAAGGUAGGACUGGUGACUGGGGUGAAGUCGUAACAAGGUAUCCCUACGAGAACGUGGGGAUGGAUCACCUCCUUUCUACGGAGUACAAAGUACACACUUUAAGAUUUAAAAUCUUUUUACUAUUAUUUGAUUAUGGAAAAAUUUAUAUCCAGUUUUGAGAGUACUAUCUCUCUAGUUAGUUCUUUGAAAACUGAAUAGAAAAGACAUUUGUAUAUAUAUUAAUAUUCAAACGUUUUGAUCAACCUAUAGAAUACAUCAUAUCUAAUUUCUAAUUUUUAAACAAUUAGGACAAUAGGUCAUACUAUUAAAUAAGUAAGAGUUUUUGGUGGAUGCCUUGGGUCUGGAAGUCGAUGAAGGACGUGAUUACCUGCGAUAAGCCUCGUGGAGCUGGAAAUAAGCUACGAAACGGGGAUUUCCGAAUGGGGAAACCCAACUAGAUUAAUCUCUAGUUAUCAUUUAGUGAAUACAUAGCUAAAUAGAAGAGACACGUUGAGAACUGAAACAUCUUAGUACCAACAGGAAAAGAAAAUAAAGAAUGAUUCCCUGAGUAGCGGCGAGCGAACGGGGAAGAGCCCAAACCAACUUUGUAGUUGGGGUUGUAGGACUGUCUACACGGAGUUACAAAAUAAACAGAUAGCAGAAUAAGUUGGAAUGCUUAACAAUAAAGGGUGAAAGUCCCGUACGCGAAAUUUGUUUAUCUCUUGACAGUAUCCUGAGUAGGGCGGGGCACGUGAAACCCUGUCUGAAUCUGCCGGGACCACCCGGUAAGGCUAAAUACUAACCAGACACCGAUAGUGAACUA
This 868-nucleotide small RNA is filed under the name [Mycoplasma] gypis. RNAcentral's name for it is "bacterial LSU rRNA". The stretch from base 369 to 868 matches the Rfam family "Bacterial large subunit ribosomal RNA", at positions 1 to 497 of the family's 2925-position model. The record is from RNAcentral. Lineage: Bacteria; Bacillati; Mycoplasmatota; Mycoplasmoidales; Metamycoplasmataceae.